RNAcentral lists this long non-coding RNA (386 nucleotides) under Androctonus crassicauda. Lineage: Eukaryota; Metazoa; Arthropoda; Arachnida; Scorpiones; Buthidae. The record is from RNAcentral.
CUGGGAAAAACAACAGUGAAGGCCCUGAAGAAGUUAAAUUUAGACACCAUGUGAUCCUUAACCAUCUCAAGAAUAUUACUGUAUAACCUGAGCCAUUCAAAAGAUGAAUGUGCCACUUUGUGAGUCCAAGAAAUUCUUCUCCCACACGAAUGGAGCCUAUAAUAACCUCCUGGGCACUUGCUUCAACAAACAAAUGCAAAGGAGGAAUGCCCAAGAAGACUUCAAGAAUAGCAGUAGGAGCAGUCUUGAUAGCCCCAGUAAUGCUCAAAUAGGCCAACCUUUGAAUCUUUUCAAAUUCAAUCUUGCAAGUCUUAAGCAAAACCUUUCACCACCAAAUAAUGGCAGCAUAGGUAAUAAUAUAAUGGUCUCAUAACUAUGGUGUAUAU